CAGCACCUCAAGUGGUCAGGAUGAUUAUUGGGCCUAAAGCAUCCGUAGCCGGCGCUGUAAGUUUUCGGUUAAAUCUGUACGCUCAACGUACAGGCUGCCGGGAAUACUGCAGCGCUAGGGAGUGGGAGAGGUAGACGGUACUCGGUAGGAAGGGGUAAAAUCCUUUGAUCUAUUGAUGACCACCUGUGGCGAAGGCGGUCUACUAGAACACGUCCGACGGUGAGGGAUGAAAGCUGGGGGAGCAAACCGGAUUAGAUACCCCUGUAGUCC
RNAcentral lists this ribosomal RNA (270 nucleotides) under uncultured archaeon. Its description in RNAcentral is "partial 16S ribosomal RNA". It matches the Rfam family "Archaeal small subunit ribosomal RNA", at positions 477 to 747 of the family's 1478-position model. The record is from RNAcentral.